UGGAGUCAACGGUGGGACGGAGA
RNAcentral lists this microRNA (23 nucleotides) under Gossypium raimondii (Peruvian cotton). Its description in RNAcentral is "gra-miR8664". Lineage: Eukaryota; Viridiplantae; Streptophyta; Magnoliopsida; Malvales; Malvaceae. The record is from miRBase by way of RNAcentral.